RNAcentral lists this ribosomal RNA (455 nucleotides) under uncultured bacterium. RNAcentral's name for it is "bacterial SSU rRNA". It matches the Rfam family "Bacterial small subunit ribosomal RNA", at positions 338 to 795 of the family's 1533-position model. The record is from RNAcentral.
CCUACGGGAGGCAGCAGUGAGGAAUAUUGCGCAAUGGGCGAAAGCCUGACGCAGCGACGCCGCGUGGGGGAUGAAGGUCUUCGGAUUGUAAACCCCUUUCGGGAGGGAAGAUGGGACGAGCAAUCGUUCGGACGGUACCUCCAGAAGCAGCCACGGCUAACUUCGUGCCAGCAGCCGCGGUAAUACGAAGGUGGCAAGCGUUGUUCGGAUUUACUGGGCGUAAAGGGAGCGUAGGCGGUUUGGUAAGCCCUCCGGGAAAUCUUCGGGCUUAACCCGGAAAGGUCGGAGGGGACUGCCUGGCUAGAGGACGGGAGAGGAGCGCGGAAUUCCCGGUGUAGCGGUGAAAUGCGUAGAGAUCGGGAGGAAGGCCGGUGGCGAAGGCGGCGCUCUGGAACGUUCCUGACGCUGAGGCUCGAAAGCGUGGGGAGCAAACAGGAUUAGAUACCCUAGUAGUC